GACGAACGCUGGCGGCGUGCUUAACACAUGCAAGUCGAACGGAAAGGCCCUGCUUUUGUGGGGUGCUCGAGUGGCGAACGGGUGAGUAACACGUGAGUAACCUGCCCUUGACUUUGGGAUAACUUCAGGAGACUGGGGCUAAUACCGGAUAGGAGCUCCUGCUGCAUGGUGGGGGUUGGAAAGUUUCGGCGGUUGGGGAUGGACUCGCGGCUUAUCAGCUUGUUGGUGGGGUAGUGGCUUACCAAGGCUUUGACGGGUAGCCGGCCUGAGAGGGUGACCGGCCACAUUGGGACUGAGAUACGGCCCAGACUCCUACGGGAGGCAGCAGUGGGGAAUAUUGCACAAUGGGCGGAAGCCUGAUGCAGCAACGCCGCGUGCGGGAUGACGGCCUUCGGGUUGUAAACCGCUUUCGCCUGUGACGAAGCGUGAGUGACGGUAAUGGGUAAAGAAACACCGGCUAACUACGUG
RNAcentral lists this ribosomal RNA (468 nucleotides) under uncultured bacterium. Its description in RNAcentral is "partial 16S ribosomal RNA". It matches the Rfam family "Bacterial small subunit ribosomal RNA", at positions 28 to 507 of the family's 1533-position model. The record is from RNAcentral.